GACGUGACUUCAGAGUUUGAUCCUGGCUCAGAGUGAACGCUGGCGGUAGGCCUAACACAUGCAAGUCGAACGGCAGCACAGUAAGAGCUUGCUCUUAUGGGUGGCGAGUGGCGGACGGGUGAGGAAUACAUCGGAAUCUACCUUUUCGUGGGGGAUAACGUAGGGAAACUUACGCUAAUACCGCAUACGACCUUCGGGUGAAAGCAGGGGACCUUCGGGCCUUGCGCGGAUAGAUGAGCCGAUGUCGGAUUAGCUAGUUGGCGGGGUAAAGGCCCACCAAGGCGACGAUCCGUAGCUGGUCUGAGAGGAUGAUCAGCCACACUGGAACUGAGACACGGUCCAG
This 343-nucleotide ribosomal RNA is filed under the name uncultured bacterium. RNAcentral's name for it is "bacterial SSU rRNA". It matches the Rfam family "Bacterial small subunit ribosomal RNA", at positions 1 to 334 of the family's 1533-position model. The record is from RNAcentral.